AACGAACGCUGGCGGCGCGCCUAAUACAUGCAAGUCGAGCGAGAAGACGUAGCAAUACGUUUGUAAAGCGGCGAACGGGUGAGGAAUACAUGGGGUAACCUACCCUAGAGUGGGGAGUAACUAGCCGAAAGGUUAGCUAAUACCGCGUACGCUCCUUGGACUUCGGUUCAGGGAGGAAAGCGAUACCGAGGGUAUCGCGCUCUUGGAUGGGCUCAUGUCCUAUCAGCUUGUUGGGAGGU
This 239-nucleotide ribosomal RNA is filed under the name uncultured bacterium. RNAcentral's name for it is "partial 16S ribosomal RNA". It matches the Rfam family "Bacterial small subunit ribosomal RNA", at positions 29 to 257 of the family's 1533-position model. The record is from RNAcentral.